CAGCCAGCAGUUACCAUCUCAACCACACACAGUAACACACAGGAGGACCAGGUCACCACAUAGCCAGCAGGAGGACCAGGUCACCACAUAGCCAGCAGGAGGACCAGGUCACCACAUAGCCAGCAGGAGGACCAGGUCACCACAUAGCCAGCAGGAGGACCAGGUCACCACAUUAGCCAGCAGGAGGACCAGUUCACCACACAGCCAGCAGGAGGACAAGGUCACCACAUAGCCAGCAGGAGGACAAGGUCACCACAUAGCCAGCAGGAGGACAAGGUCACCACACAGCCAGCAGUUACCAUCUCAACCACACACAGUAACACACAGGAGGACCAGGUCACCACACAUUAUAAAAUGUAAUUAGGCAAGUCAGAUAAGAACAAAUUCUUAUUUACAAUGACGGCCUACCCCGGCCAAACCUGGGCCAAUUGUGCGCCACCCUAUGAGACUCCCAAUCACGGCCAGAUGUGAUGCAGCCUGGAUUCGAACCAUUGACUACUGUGACGCCUCUGGCACACCUCUAUCUGAGAUGCAGUGCCUUAGACCCC
Oncorhynchus tshawytscha (Chinook salmon) is the source of this 548-nucleotide long non-coding RNA. The record is from Ensembl. Lineage: Eukaryota; Metazoa; Chordata; Actinopteri; Salmoniformes; Salmonidae.